This 411-nucleotide ribosomal RNA is filed under the name Triticum aestivum (bread wheat). RNAcentral's name for it is "partial small subunit ribosomal RNA". Lineage: Eukaryota; Viridiplantae; Streptophyta; Magnoliopsida; Poales; Poaceae. The record is from RNAcentral.
AUGAUCAAGCAAUCUCUCUGCUCAUCAAAGAUUUUUUUUUUUUUGCGGGGUUCAUCAAAGAUUUAUUUGCCUGGAAUGGAUACAACAAACAUACAAUCAAGCUGCAACAACACGCAGCAAGACGAGAAAAGGAGGCGCAUCUCCAAUCUCCAUCUCCCCUAUCCACAAACAACGCAAGGGGGAUCGAUCACAACAGCAAAACGCUCCUCCCUACAUGAAGCUGAACGAACAACAACGGACACGAACCAAGAAGUGAUGAAUGAGGGAACUCCAUGGGAGGGAGACGACGGCCUCUCCCCCUACGGCGUGGGGAAGAAGAACGUCAUCUCGCCUCUGGGAACGAUGCUUCAACACCAAAGAUACUUAUACUCCAUCCACGUCCCUUCGGAGGCUCAGCCCGCUCCAAUUUGA